RNAcentral lists this ribosomal RNA (278 nucleotides) under Salinibacillus xinjiangensis. RNAcentral's name for it is "partial 16S ribosomal RNA". It matches the Rfam family "Bacterial small subunit ribosomal RNA", at positions 1 to 256 of the family's 1533-position model. The record is from RNAcentral. Lineage: Bacteria; Bacillati; Bacillota; Bacilli; Caryophanales; Bacillaceae.
UUUUGGAGAGUUUGAUCUUGGCUCAGGACGAACGCUGGCGGCGUGCCUAAUACAUGCAAGUCGAGCGCGGGAAGCGAGUUGAUCCCUUCGGGGUGACGCUUGUGGAACGAGCGGCGGACGGGUGAGUAACACGUGGGUAACCUGCCUGUAAGACUGGGAUAACUCCGGGAAACCGGGGCUAAUACCGGAUAACACUUUGAACUGCAUGGUUCGAAGAUGAAAGGCGGCUUUUGCUGUCACUUACAGAUGGGCCCGCGGCGCAUUAGCUAGUUGGUGGG